UACAGAGGGUGCGAGCGUUGUCCGGAAUCACUGGGCGUAAAGGGCGCGUAGGCGCCUGGCAAGUCGAUGGUGAAAGCUCAGGGCUCAACUCUGAGUCGGCCAUCGAUACUGCUAUGGCUCGAGUCUGGUAGAGGCAGAUGGAAUUCCGGGUGUAGCGGUGGAAUGCGUAGAGAUCCGGAAGAACACCGGUGGCGAAGGCGGUCUGCUGG
This 209-nucleotide ribosomal RNA is filed under the name uncultured bacterium. RNAcentral's name for it is "partial 16S ribosomal RNA". It matches the Rfam family "Bacterial small subunit ribosomal RNA", at positions 524 to 732 of the family's 1533-position model. The record is from RNAcentral.